GACGAACGCUGGCGGCGUGCCUAAUACAUGCAAGUCGAACGCAGUGGGGACGGGUGAGUAACACGUGGGUAACCUCCCAUCAGAGGGGAGAACACUUGGAAACAGGUGCUAAACCGAUACUGAUGGAUGGACUCGCGGGGCAUUAGCUUGUGGGUGAGGUAACGGCUCACCAAGGCCACGAUGCAUAGCCGCCCUGAGAGGGUGAUCGGCCACACUGGGACUGAGACACGGCCCAGACUCCUACGGGAGGCAGCAGUAGGGAAUCUUCGGCAAGGGGCGAAAGUCUGACGGAGCAACGCCGCGUGAGUGAAGAAGGUUUUCGGAUCGUAAAGCUCUGUUGUUAGAGAAGCGUUACCUAACCAGAAAGCCACGGCUAACUACGUGCCAGCAGCCGCGGUAAUAC
This 403-nucleotide ribosomal RNA is filed under the name uncultured bacterium. RNAcentral's name for it is "partial 16S ribosomal RNA". It matches the Rfam family "Bacterial small subunit ribosomal RNA", at positions 28 to 526 of the family's 1533-position model. The record is from RNAcentral.